CCCUCAAGACCUUGCAAAAUUACAACUCCCAUGAUCUCAUGGCAUUGAGCCCUUAGAAAAGCAUUUACAACCCUGUGCUUCCAAACAAUGCCAGAAAGAUAUAGAGAAUCCCUCAUGCCCAAUGAGUUUGUAUUUGUGUGUCGGGGGAUAAGAAGAUUUAAUACAUUAAUAAUAAUAAUAAUAAUAAUAAUAAUAAUAAUAAUAAUAAAUACACAAGGCAUGGUCUACACUGGUCAUCAUAAAAAAGAAAAUUUAGACAUUCCCUUGAAGAAGAAAGCCAGGUGAAUGCUAUGAGCAAGAACAUUUCAGAUUUUAGCACUACCUUGAAACAACAGCUGUUUCCAAUUACCCUUUGUUGGUAAUAUAAGCCUAGGUUUUAGCUCCCUGGCUUACUUUAUUUUUUUUACUAUGAAAAGUUGGCGUAUUUAGCUUCAAAACCUCUUUGUUUCAGAGAAGUUUGUUUAUUGCUUGAGGAAUCCCACUGAGUGUUCAAUAGUGGAGUAUAGAAUUGUUUCUUACCAAACUGGAGGACUUCGCUUGUUAAAAGUGCUGCAGUUCAGAUUCGUCAUGCCUUGACCAACUAUGGUGGCCAAAGUUUCCAUGAAUGUGAAUCCUCAGCAUGGAAAAGCCCAAGAGCAAUACUCGCCAGUUACUUACAGGAGGAACCACUCCAUAAUCCUCCCAAAGAAAGACCGGAUGAAGGAGGCAACUUGGAUUUCAGAUUUCAGUUUCUCAUGGAAAAGCACCUCAAAAAUCAGUACAAACUUACAUGUUUCCAGGAUCACCAGAUACCCACAUAAGAAAACCUCAGAUAGAUACAUCCACCUAUGGUCACUUCAGAACUUCUGCCAGGUCUUCUUUAGUCUCCUUUGCCCUCCAGAGAUUUCUCCACUUUGUGGAUCCAUUGAUGUUCUCAAAGGCUUGCAGGCCACUCGAUGUUCUCAAAGGCUUGCAGGCCACUCGAUGUUCUCAAAGGUUUGCUUUCCACAUUUCAAGAAUCCAAAGAGUUUUUUCUCUUAAUGUGAUUAGACAUGUAGAAACCCUUCCCGCAUAGAAAACCAUGUACAAUGAAUUGUACAUGAUGUGGACAC
Molecule: long non-coding RNA, 1091 nt
Organism: Anolis carolinensis (green anole)
Lineage: Eukaryota; Metazoa; Chordata; Lepidosauria; Squamata; Anolidae
Exons: 3
Source: RefSeq, a predicted model, not a curated record